AUUGAACGCUGGCGGCAGGCCUAACACAUGCAAGUCGAACGAGUGGCGGACGGGUGAGUAAUGUCUGGGAAACUGCCUGAUGGAGGGGGAUAACUACUGGAAACGGUAGCUAAUACCGCAUACCAUCAGAUGUGCCCAGAUGGGAUUAGCUAGGUGGUGGGGUAACGGCUCACCCAGGCGACGAUCCCUAGCUGGUCUGAGAGGAUGACAAGCAAAACUGGAACGGAGACAAGGUCCAGACUCCUACGGUAGGAAGCAGUGGGGAAUAUGGCACAAUGGGCGCAAGCCUGAUGCAGCCAGGCCGCGUGUAUGAAGAAGGCCUUCGGGUUGUAAAGUACUUUCAGCGGGGAGGCGUUACCCGCAGAAGAAGCACCGGCUAACUCCGUGCCAGCAGCCGCGGUAAUAC
Molecule: ribosomal RNA, 406 nt
Filed under: uncultured bacterium
Lineage: Bacteria
Description: partial 16S ribosomal RNA
Rfam family: Bacterial small subunit ribosomal RNA
Source: RNAcentral